GACGUACGCUGGCGGCGUGCUUAACACAUGCAAGUCGAACGGUGAAGCGCCUUCCUUUUUGGUGGGUGUGGAUGAGUGGCGAACGGGUGAGUAACACGUGAGUAACCUGCCCCCUUCUUCUGGAUAACCGCAUGAAAGUGUGGCUAAUACGGGAUAUUCUGGGUCUGUCGCAUGAUGGGUCUGGGAAAGAUAUUGUUUCGGUGGGGGAUGGGCUCGCGGCCUAUCAGCUUGUUGGUGGGGUGAUGGCCUACCAAGGCGGUGACGGGUAGCCGGCCUGAGAGGGUGGACGGUCACACUGGGACUGAGACACGGCCCAGACUCCUACGGGAGGCAGCAGUGGGGAAUAUUGCACAAUGGGCGCAAGCCUGAUGCAGCGACGCCGCGUGAGGGAUGGAGGCCUUCGGGUUGUGAACCUCUUUCGCCAGUGAAGCAGGCCUGCCUCGUUUGUGGGUGGGUUGACGGUAGCUGGAUAAGAAGCGCCGGCUAACUACGUG
RNAcentral lists this ribosomal RNA (494 nucleotides) under uncultured bacterium. Its description in RNAcentral is "partial 16S ribosomal RNA". It matches the Rfam family "Bacterial small subunit ribosomal RNA", at positions 28 to 507 of the family's 1533-position model. The record is from RNAcentral.